Molecule: ribosomal RNA, 402 nt
Filed under: uncultured bacterium
Lineage: Bacteria
Description: bacterial SSU rRNA
Rfam family: Bacterial small subunit ribosomal RNA
Source: RNAcentral
UGAGGAAUCUUGCACAAUGGGGGCAACCCUGAUGCAGCGACGCCGCGUGAGCGAUGAAGCCCUUCGGGGCGUAAAGCUCUUUCGACCGGAACGAUAAUGACGGUACCGGGAGAAGAAGCUGCGGCUAACUACGUGCCAGCAGCCGCGGUAAUACGUAGGCAGCAAGCGUUGUUCGGAGUUACUGGGCGUAAAGAGUGCGUAGGCGGUUUUCUAAGUUCGGUGUGAAAUCUCCCGGCUUAACUGGGAGGGUGCGCCGAAGACUGGGAAGCUGGAGUGUGGGAAAGGCAGGCGGAAUUCCUGGUGUAGCGGUGAAAUGCGUAGAUAUCAGGAGGAACACCGGCGGUGUAGACGGCUUGCUAAACCAUAACUGACGCUGAGGCACGAAAGCGUGGGUAGCAAACA